RNAcentral lists this ribosomal RNA (466 nucleotides) under uncultured bacterium. RNAcentral's name for it is "partial 16S ribosomal RNA". It matches the Rfam family "Bacterial small subunit ribosomal RNA", at positions 28 to 507 of the family's 1533-position model. The record is from RNAcentral.
GACGAACGCUGGCGGCGUGCCUAACACAUGCAAGUCGAACGAGCGAGAGAGAGCUUGCUUUCUUGAGCGAGUGCCGAACGCGUGAGUAACACGUGAGGAUCCUGCCCCUAAGAGGCGGACAACAGUUGGAAACGACUGCUAAUACCGCAUAAGAUCACGUUGCCGCAUGGCACAGAGGGUAAAGGAGCAAUCCGCUUUCAGUUGGACACGCGUCCGAUUAGCUAGUUGGUGAGGUUACGGCCCACCAUGGCGACGAUCGGUAGCCGGACUGAGAGGUUGAGCCGCGACAUUGGGACUGAGACACGGCCCAGACUCCUACGGGAGGCAGCAGUGGGGAAUAUUGCACAGUGGGGGAAACCCUGAUGCAGCGACGCCGGGUAGAGGAAGAAGGUAUUCAGAUUGUAAUCUCCUGUUGUUGGGGAAGAUAAUGACGGUACCCAACAAGGAAGUGACGGCUAACUACGUG